UUAAUAAUUCCUCCGUCCAAAAUUACUUGUCGCAAAAAUGGAUGUAUCUAGACGUAUUUUUAGUUCUAGAUACAUCCAAUUUUAUUCAUUUCUGUGACAAGUAAUUCGGGACUGAGGGAGUACUAG
Molecule: non-coding RNA, 126 nt
Organism: Triticum aestivum (bread wheat)
Lineage: Eukaryota; Viridiplantae; Streptophyta; Magnoliopsida; Poales; Poaceae
Source: Rfam